RNAcentral lists this ribosomal RNA (700 nucleotides) under uncultured soil bacterium. RNAcentral's name for it is "bacterial SSU rRNA". It matches the Rfam family "Bacterial small subunit ribosomal RNA", at positions 56 to 745 of the family's 1533-position model. The record is from RNAcentral.
UGCAAGUCGAACGGCAGCACAGGGUAGCUUGCUAUCCGGGUGGCGAGUGGCGGACGGGUGAGUAACGCGUAGGAAUCUACCUUUUCGUGGGGGAUAACCCGGGGAAACUCGGGCUAAUACCGCAUACGCCCUACGGGGGAAAGCGGGGGACCUUCGGGCCUCGCGCGGAACGAUGAGCCUGCGUCCUAUCAGGUAGUUGGUGAGGUAAUGGCUCACCAAGCCGACGACGGGUAGCUGGUCUGAGAGGACGACCAGCCACACUGGGACUGAGACACGGCCCAGACUCCUACGGGAGGCAGCAGUGGGGAAUAUUGGACAAUGGGGGAAACCCUGAUCCAGCAAUACCGCGUGUGUGAAGAAGGCCUUCGGGUUGUAAAGCACUUUUAGCAGGAAAGAAAGACUAUGCGCUAAUACCGCACGGUUUUGACGUUACUUGCAGAAAAAGCACCGGCUAACUCCGUGCCAGCAGCCGCGGUAAUACGGAGGGCGCAAGCGUUAAUCGGAAUUACUGGGCGUAAAGCGCGCGUAGGCGGCUUGUUAAGUCGGAUGUGAAAUCCCCGGGCUCAACCUGGGAACUGCAUUCGAUACUGGCUGGCUAGAGUGUGGUAGAGGGAAGUGGAAUUCCAGGUGUAGCGGUGAAAUGCGUAGAUAUCUGGGGGAACAUCAGUGGCGAAGGCGGCUUCCUGGACCAACACUGACG